Molecule: non-coding RNA, 422 nt
Organism: Danio rerio (zebrafish)
Lineage: Eukaryota; Metazoa; Chordata; Actinopteri; Cypriniformes; Danionidae
Source: the annotation of a RefSeq genome assembly
AUAAUGUUCUUCUUAAAGCUCUUUCUGCAGUUGGCAGUCGCACACAGUGUUUAUUCUCAGAUUGUGCUCACACAGUCUGAACAGUCAGUAAGUGUGUCUCCGAGCGGAUCUGUUAAGCUGACCUGUGCAUGCAGUGGAUUCACUCUUAGUAGCUACAGGAUGCACUGGAUCCGUCAGGCACCAGGAAAAGGACUGGAAUGGAUUUUGCACUUUUAUUCAAAUUCUGACAAUGGUGCAGCUCAGUCAGUGCAGGGCAGAUUCACAGCAUCUAAAGACAGCUCUAAUUUCUAUCUGCACAUGAAUCAACUGAAGACUGAGGACACUGCAGUGUAUUACUGUGCAAGAGAGACACUGUGCUUGUUUUCAUGCAUCUACUCUUAGGUAAACCAUCAGGGGAGAACUGAGGAAUGGAGAUUAUUGGU